RNAcentral lists this ribosomal RNA (417 nucleotides) under uncultured bacterium. RNAcentral describes it as "bacterial SSU rRNA". It matches the Rfam family "Bacterial small subunit ribosomal RNA", at positions 107 to 518 of the family's 1533-position model. The record is from RNAcentral.
UGCGUAACGCGUAUGCCAACCUGCCCCCAUCAGGGGAAUAGCCCGCCGAAAGGCGGAUUAAUGCCCCAUAGGCCCAGGGCGCCGCAUGGCGCUACGGGUAAAGCUCCGGGCGGAGUGGGGAUGGGCAUGCGUGCCAUUAGCUAGUUGGGGCGGUAACGGCGCACCAAGGCGACGAUGGCUAGGGGGUCUGAGAGGAUGGUCCCCCACACUGGUACUGAGACACGGACCAGACUCCUACGGGAGGCAGCAGUGAGGAAUAUUGGUCAAUGGGCGGAAGCCUGAACCAGCCAUUGCCGCGUGCAGGAUGACGGCCCUACGGGUUGUAAACUGCUUUUCCCCGGGAAGAAUAAGCCCCUCGUGAGGGGUGAUGCCGGUACCGGGGGAAUAAGGAUCGGCUAACUCCGUGCCAGCAGCGGC